ACUAGAGGGCAGAGCGUCUCUGCUGAUGCACCCUGUAGGACAGGCUGAUUGCAGCUGAUUGCUGUAGAAGGGGGUAAGUCAGAGGCAGAUGCCUUUGCAGUGUGUUAAGACAUCUCAUCUGGGUCCUUUGGGGGAAAGGAAGAGGCCACGGAGGAUCGAAGUAGCUCUCCCGUCUGGAGACCGCAGGUCCCGAGAGGAGGAGCCAUGAGGAGGGCUGCAGGACGAUUCCUUCUGCUCACGUGGCUGCACUGUGUGAGUGGAGGAGAGCAGGUGGAGCAGAGUCCUGCUUUCCUGAAUGUCCAGGAGGGAGAGAGCUGUGUCAUCACCUGCACGUACUCAGACAGUGCCACCACCACCUUGUACUGGUAUAAGCAGGAACCUGGAAAAGGUCUCCAGUUGUUUGUAACUAUUUUCUCAAGUAUGGACAAGAAAGAAGACAAACGAUUCACCGUCCUCUUGAACAAGAAGGAGAAGCAGGUCACCCUGCACAUCUCAGCUGCCCAUCCUGCCGACUCAGCCACCUACUUCUGUGCAGCAAGUGCACAGUGCUCCCCCUGCACCUGCAGCCUGUACCCAAACCUGCCAUGGUCUAUAGACCUCCUUUGUUCUUGCUUGAUCUUGAGUUUGGGAUUUUCUCCAAAUAUGUUUUAG
Ochotona princeps (American pika) is the source of this 651-nucleotide non-coding RNA. NCBI's taxonomy places the organism in Eukaryota, Metazoa, Chordata, Mammalia, Lagomorpha, Ochotonidae. The record is from the annotation of a RefSeq genome assembly.